GAUAUGGCUGUCGGUUUGUUAUGACAGGCGCUGGGCCGAGUGUAGUGUAAAAUCAACAAUCUUCUUUAACACAAUUAUCGGUGACAAUUAACCCAGAUGGAAUGGUUUAAAUCUCGGCCGGAAUAGUAGAGUGUGGCCCAGUGUAAAGUGAGUGGGUGGCCAGCGAUGGUGGUGGAGUGUGCUUUCCGACGGACGAUGGGUUAUGGAUCUUGGAGUCGUCCUUCUUUUCGUAGUUUUGCCUAUCUAGCGGAGCUCCAGAGGUCUUAAUUGGAUUUAAUGAUCGCGGAUCUCAAGGAACAAAGUCGUCCUGACUAACCUAAAUAGCCUAACCUAAAAUAGCCUACUUACAAUUGCUCGAAGAGCCCUUCUCCUAUAUAACAUGGUUCCAAAAUUCAUCCCCUAACGUCGAUGAAACGUCGUCCCAGAUAUCGUCGUGAACAUCAUUACUUAAUUGAGAGCACACUUUCUGAGCUACACAGAGAUUUGGCUCAUGAAUGUUCACUCGGAAUGUAACUCAGAAGCAGGAAGAUGACCCUUGUAUUCCACGUCGUCAGGUGUGUUAAAGAGCUUUUUCCAGAAUUUUUGGACCUAAGGAUUAAACCAAAAUCAUCACCCCUAAAACAAAUACUCAUUAAAGCUGCUCUCAAGCGAUUGUGCUUGAUGCCUACACAAGAAUCACACAAGAAUGAUUCUACCAACUUUUUACGGACUUAAUCAUUUAUUUUCCAAAACAAUUCUAAUUGGACUAGCGGUUCAAGUGCAUGGGAAAUUUCAACCGGUCAUUAAAAUUACGAACGGCUUAGGAAUUCACCUUUGUACCUACAAACCAUUUAAUUGGGGAAAUACCAACUGGUGUUUGCAACCGCUCACGGUGGUAAUAAGGCGAUACUUCUGAGGCACGGCAAGGAAUACAAGGACGAGACAAACAAUGACAUGCAUCACGACGAGAUUGGGGCCAAAAUGAAAAAGGAUCCGUCUUUCUGGAGGAGAAGUCGAGUGGAGAGGGUAAGACGAGCAGGUGCACCGCGAUGAAAUGGAUACUGCCCAGUUAUCUACUGCCCAAGUUAUCUGCAAACGUCGGACCGAAACUUUAAAGAUUUUAACCUGGAGAAAUGAAAUUAUACUAAAGUUCAACCCAAACGUGCUUGCACAUUUUGAUUCUUAUUUGUACGUGUUUCGGGGAAGCCAAAAGUUUAUUGUAAAGCAAACAAUAAAUAAAUCGUACUACAAGUU
Molecule: long non-coding RNA, 1233 nt
Organism: Belonocnema kinseyi
Lineage: Eukaryota; Metazoa; Arthropoda; Insecta; Hymenoptera; Cynipidae
Exons: 6
Source: RefSeq, a predicted model, not a curated record